UAGAAUCAGGCUCAGCCAAUCAGGUUCCUUCUUCAUGGGGAUCUGGUGAUGCAAUGGCUGCAAGAACAAAAUCCUUGGCAGUGUAUGCAACCUGUUGUGUGCCUGGGUCCCCCUUAGAGACCUUCAAAACAGUU
Small nucleolar RNA from Mastomys coucha (southern multimammate mouse), 134 nucleotides. RefSeq annotates it as small nucleolar RNA SNORA70. The transcript has a single exon. The record is from RefSeq and is a predicted model, not a curated record. Lineage: Eukaryota; Metazoa; Chordata; Mammalia; Rodentia; Muridae.